UGCCUCCGGGUAGAGACGCCACCCUUGUGUACCAGACCGCUGUUGCUUUGGCGGGCCCAGCCCGCCAGAGACCCCAAACCCUGAGCGUGUGUGUCGUCGGAGUACUAUUCAAUAGUUAAAACUUUCAACAACGGAUCUCUUGGUUCUGGCAUCGAUGAAGAACGCAGCGAAAUGCGAUAAGUAAUGUGAAUUGCAGAAUUCAGUGAAUCAUCGAAUCUUUGAACGCACAUUGCGCCCCCCGGUAUUCCGAGGGGCAUGCCUGUUCGAGCGUCAUUAUAGCCUAUCCAGCCCCGCUGGGUCCUGGGCUCGCCGUCUGGCGGGCCCCAAAGCUAGUGGCGGUGCCGCCCGGUGCUGGAGCGUAGUACAACCCCUCGCUACCGGCCCUGAGCGCGCGCCCGCCAGCGACCCCUUCUACGGUUGACCUCGGAUCAGGUAGGGAUACCCGCUGAACUUAAGCAUAUCAAAAGGCCGGGAGGAA
This 478-nucleotide ribosomal RNA is filed under the name Helotiales sp. ARDLJ-2009a. RNAcentral's name for it is "eukaryotic LSU rRNA". The stretch from base 120 to 273 matches the Rfam family "5.8S ribosomal RNA". The record is from RNAcentral. Lineage: Eukaryota; Fungi; Ascomycota; Leotiomycetes; Helotiales.